UGUUGGUGAGGUCAUGGCUCACCAGGCUAUGACGCCUAACUGGUUUGAGAGGAUGAUCAGUCACACUGGAACUGAGACACGGUCCAGACUCCUACGGGAGGCAGCAGUGGGGAAUAUUGCACAAUGGACGUAAGUCUGAUGCAGCAACGCCUGCGUGGAGGAUGACACAUUUCGGUGCGUAAACUCCUUUUAUAUAGGAAGAUAAUGACGGUACUAUAUGAAUAAGCACCGGCUAACUCCGUGCCAGCAGCCGCGGUAAUACGGAGGGUGCAAGCGUUACUCGGAAUCACUGGGCGUAAAGAGCGUGUAGGCGGGUAUAUAAGUCAGAAGUGAAAUCCAAUAGCUCAACUAUUGAACUGCUUUUGAAACUGUAUACCUAGAAUGUGGGAGAGGUAGAUGGAAUUUCUGGUGUAGGGGUAAAAUCCGUAGAGAUCAGAAGGAAUACCGAUUGCGAAGGCGAUCUACUGGAACAUUAUUGACGCUGAGACGCGAAAGCGUGGGGAGCAAACAGGAUUAGAUACCCUGGUAGUCCACGCCCUAAACGAUGUACACUAGUUGUUGUGAGGCUCGACCUUGCAGUAAUGCAGUUAACACAUUAAGUGUACCGCCUGGGGAGUACGGUCGCAAGAUUAAAACUCAAAGGUAUAGACGGGGACCCGCACAAGCGGUGGAGCAUGUGGUUUAAUUCGACGAUACACGAAGAACCUUACCUGGACUUGACAUAGUAAGUACUUUCUAGAGAUAGAUUGGUGUCUGCUUGCAGAAACUUAUAUACAGGUGCUGCACGGCUGUCGUCAGCUCGUGUCGUGAGAUGUUGGGUUAAGUCCCGCAACGAGCGCAACCCUCGUCCUUAGUUGCUAACAGUUCGGCUGAGAACUCUAAGGAGACUGCCUACGCAAGUAGGAGGAAGGUGAGGACGACGUCAAGUCAUCAUGGCCCUUACGUCCAGGGCUACACACGUGCUACAAUGGGGUAUACAAAGAGCAGCAAUACGGUGACGUGGAGCAAAUCUCAAAAAUAUCUCCCAGUUCGGAUUGUAGUCUGCAACUCGACUACAUGAAGUUGGAAUCGCUAGUAAUCGUAGAUCAGCUAUGCUACGGUGAAUACGUUCCCGGGUCUUGUACUCACCGCCCGUCACACCAUGGGAGUUGAACUCAUUCGAAGCGGGGAUGCUAAAGUAGCUACCUUCCACAGUGA
This 1197-nucleotide ribosomal RNA is filed under the name uncultured bacterium. Its description in RNAcentral is "bacterial SSU rRNA". It matches the Rfam family "Bacterial small subunit ribosomal RNA", at positions 247 to 1465 of the family's 1533-position model. The record is from RNAcentral.